UACGUAGGGUGCGAGCGUUGUCCGGAAUUACUGGGCGUAAAGAGCUCGUAGGUGGUUUGUCGCGUUGUUCGUGAAAACUCACAGCUUAACUGUGGGCGUGCGGGCGAUACGGGCAGACUGGAGUACUGCAGGGGAGACUGGAAUUCCUGGUGUAGCGGUGGAAUGCGCAGAUAUCAGGAGGAACACCGGUGGCGAAGGCGGGUCUCUGGGCAGUAACUGACGCUGAGGAGCGAAAGCGUGGGGAGCGAACGGG
This 253-nucleotide ribosomal RNA is filed under the name uncultured bacterium. RNAcentral describes it as "partial 16S ribosomal RNA". It matches the Rfam family "Bacterial small subunit ribosomal RNA", at positions 524 to 776 of the family's 1533-position model. The record is from RNAcentral.